CGGGUUAUAGCUCCGGUGUAGAGCGCUCGCUUCGCAUGCGAGAAGACUGGGGUUCGAUUCCUCAUAGCUUCA
Molecule: non-coding RNA, 72 nt
Organism: Angiostrongylus cantonensis (rat lungworm)
Lineage: Eukaryota; Metazoa; Nematoda; Chromadorea; Rhabditida; Metastrongylidae
Source: Rfam